Molecule: small RNA, 28 nt
Filed under: Bombyx mori (domestic silkworm)
Lineage: Eukaryota; Metazoa; Arthropoda; Insecta; Lepidoptera; Bombycidae
Description: ovarian small RNA-37482
Source: RNAcentral
UUCUAUCACGGUUACGAUCAAAGUAGUU